AAAGUGGCCUACGCUACCGCGAUGGACUGGUUCAUAGCCGUGUGCUACGCCUUU
Molecule: non-coding RNA, 54 nt
Filed under: Podarcis lilfordi (Lilford's wall lizard)
Lineage: Eukaryota; Metazoa; Chordata; Lepidosauria; Squamata; Lacertidae
Rfam family: Editing element of GABA-3 exon 9
Source: RNAcentral